Molecule: ribosomal RNA, 500 nt
Filed under: uncultured bacterium
Lineage: Bacteria
Description: partial 16S ribosomal RNA
Rfam family: Bacterial small subunit ribosomal RNA
Source: RNAcentral
AUUGAACGCUGGCGGAAUGCUUUACACAUGCAAGUCGAACGGCAGCACGGACCUCGGUCUGGUGGCGAGUGGCGAACGGGUGAGUAAUAUAUCGGAACGUAUCCAAUAAUGGGGGAUAACUAAUCGAAAGGUUGGCUAAUACCGCAUACGUCCUACGGGAGAAAGCUAGGGACCUUCGGGCCUGGCGUUAGUGGAGCGGCCGAUAUCGGAUUAGCUAGUUGGUGAGGUAAAGGCUCACCAAGGCGACGAUCCGUAGCUGGUCUGAGAGGACGACCAGCGAACCUGGAACGGAGACACGGUCCAGACUCCUACGGGAGGCAGCAGUGGGGAAUUUUGGACAAUGGGCGAAAGCCUGAUCCAGCCAUUCCGCGUGAGUGAAGAAGGCCUUCGGGUUGUAAAGCUCUUUCGCAAGAGAAGAAAACUUACCCUCUAACAUAGGGUGAGGUUGACGGUAUCUUGAUAAGAAGCACCGGCUAACUACGUGCCAGCCGCCGCCGUAA